This is a non-coding RNA of Dipodomys ordii (Ord's kangaroo rat), 73 nucleotides long. NCBI's taxonomy places the organism in Eukaryota, Metazoa, Chordata, Mammalia, Rodentia, Heteromyidae. The record is from Rfam.
GGGAAGGUGGCUCAGUGGUAGAGUACUUGCCUUGCAUGUAUGAGGCCCUGAGUUCAAUUCCUCUGUACUACCU